This 774-nucleotide ribosomal RNA is filed under the name uncultured Neocallimastigales. Its description in RNAcentral is "partial large subunit ribosomal RNA". It matches the Rfam family "Eukaryotic large subunit ribosomal RNA", at positions 22 to 616 of the family's 3401-position model. Lineage: Eukaryota; Fungi; Neocallimastigomycota; Neocallimastigomycetes; Neocallimastigales. The record is from RNAcentral.
GUACACGCUGUGACUAGCAUAUCAAUAAGCGGAGGAAAAGAAACUAACAAGGAUUCCCUUAGUAACGGCGAGUGAAGCGGGAAGAGCUCAAAUUUGAAAUCUUAAAGGGUUUCCCUUUACGAAUUGUAGUUUAAAGAAGUGUUUUCUGUUAGAGUUUCGGUAAAAGUUCUUUGGAAUAGGACAUCAUAGAGGGUGAGAAUCCCGUAUUUGACCGUUAUUUCUAGCUUUGUGAUACACUUUCAAAGAGUCGGAUUGUUUGGGAAUGCAGUCCAAAAUGGGUGGUAAAUUUCAUCUAAAGCUAAAUAUUGGCGAGAGACCGAUAGCGAACAAGUACCGUGAGGGAAAGAUGAAAAGAACUUUGAAAAGAGAGUUAAACAGUACGUGAAAUUGUCAAAAGGGAAGCGUUUGACACCAGUGUUGUUUUUCUGAAAAUCAAUUAAAGAACUGUUUAUGCUAAGUUGUUUAGACUUUAUCAGCUAUCUGUUUAGUUUUAGGCUUUUCUUUAAUGCACUUUUCAGUUAACAAGUCAACAUCAAUUUCUUUUGCUGUAAAAAAGCUUGAGGAAGGUGGCUUGAGAUUCGUCUUAAGUGUUUAUAGCCUCUUGCCUAUGCAGUCGGAGAGAUUGAGGUCUGCAGCGUAGAUCCUUCGGGGCUAAAUGCAUUUGUGCUAAGUUAUAGCAUUUUAUAGACAACUUGUUGACUAUGAUUUGUCUUGUAGCUUACUCGCUUAUGUUAUUUUACCUACGCUUAGGAUGUUGAGCGCAUGUCUCUCUCU